UCGGGAAUUUUGGGCAAUGGGCGAAAGCCUGACCCAGCAACGCCGCGUGAAGGAUGAAGUAUUUCGGUAUGUAAACUUCGAAAGAAUAGGAAGAAUAAAUGACGGUACUAUUUAUAAGGUCCGGCUAACUACGUGCCAGCAGCCGCGGUAAUACGUAGGGACCAAGCGUUGUUCGGAUUUACUGGGCGUAAAGGGUGCGUAGGCGGCAAUUCAAGUCAUCUGUGAAAUCUCCGGGCUUAACUCGGAACGGUCAGAUGAUACUGCUUUGCUAGAGUGCAGAAGGGGCAAUCGGAAUUCUUGGUGUAGCGGUGAAAUGCGUAGAUAUCAAGAGGAACACCUGAGGUGAAGACGGGUUGCUGGGCUGACACUGACGCUGAGGCGCGAAAGCCAGGGGAGCAAACGGGAUUAGAUACCCCGGUAGUCCCUGAGCGGGCUGGCAAGGCGCAU
RNAcentral lists this ribosomal RNA (447 nucleotides) under uncultured bacterium. RNAcentral describes it as "bacterial SSU rRNA". It matches the Rfam family "Bacterial small subunit ribosomal RNA", at positions 355 to 825 of the family's 1533-position model. The record is from RNAcentral.